Regulatory RNA element from Sphingobium sp. SYK-6, 58 nucleotides. It matches the Rfam family "terC RNA". The record is from Rfam. NCBI's taxonomy places the organism in Bacteria, Pseudomonadati, Pseudomonadota, Alphaproteobacteria, Sphingomonadales, Sphingobiaceae.
AAUGCGGGCCGGGCCCCUCUGGCGAUCGUUUCGGCGGUCGUGAUGUCGGACCGCAUCG